AGGGGGUUUGAUCAUGGCUCAGAACGAACGCUCGCAGCGUGGAUUAGGCAUGCAAGUCGCGCGUGAAAGCCUUCGGGUGAGUAAAGCGGCGAACGGGUGAGUAACACGUAACCAACCUACCCCCGAGAUCGGGAUAACCAUUGGAAACGGUGGCUAAGACCGAAUAGUCCCGGGAGUCGGCAUCGACGCUUGGGUAAACGGUAGCUUCGGCAACUGUUCGGGGAGGGGGUUGCGGCCUAUCAGCUUGUUGGUGGGGUAACGGCCUACCAAGGCUAUGACGGGUAGCGGGUCUGAGAGGAUGAUCCGUCACACUGGGACUGAGACACUGCCCAGACUCCUACGGGAGGCUGCAGUCGAGAAUCUUCCGCAAUGGGCGAAAGCCUGACGGAGCGACGCCGCGUGCAGGAUGAAGGCCUUCGGGUUGUAAACUGCUGUCACGCUAUAGGAAAAGUCUUCGGACCGUGACCAAAGCGAGAGGAAGCACCGGCUAACUCCGUGCCAGCAGCCGCGGUAAGACGGAGGGUGCAAACGUUGCUCGGAAUCACUGGGCAUAAAGCGCACGUAGGCGGCUUUCUAAGUCAGAUGUGAAAUCCCUCGGCUCAACCGGGGAACUGCAUCUGAUACUGGAUUGCUCGAGGACGGUAGGGGUGAGUGGAACUCCAGGUGGAGCGGUGAAAUGCGUAGAUAUCUGGAGGAACACCAGUGGCGAAAGCGGCUCACUGGACCGUCUCUGACGCUGAGGUGCGAAAGCUAGGGUAGCGAACGGGAUUAGAUCCCCCGGUAGUCCUAGCCGUAAACGAUGGGCACUAGGCAGGGGGGAUUCCUAUGGUCUUCCCUGCCGCAGCAAAUGCAUUAAGUGCCCCGCCUGGGGAGUACGCUCGCAAGGGUAAAACUCAAAGGAAUUGACGGGGGCUCACACAAGCGGUGGAGCAUGUGGUUUUUAAUUCGAAGCAACGUGAAGAACCUUACCUAGCCUUGACAUGCACGGAUAGCCCCCUGGAAAGUAGAGUGACGGCCCUUCGGGGUUGGAACGUACACAGGUGUUGCAUGGCUGUCGUCAGCUCGUGCCGUGAGGUGUUGGGUUAAGUCCCGUAACGAGCGCAACCCUUAUCGUUAGUUGCCAGCGGGUUAUGCCGGGGACUCUAGCGAGACUGCCGUUGUCAAAACGGAGGAAGGUGGGGAUGACGUCAAGUCAUCAUGGCCCUUAUGGCUAGGGCUACACACGUGCUACAAUGGUCGGUACAAAGGGUCCCGAGACCGCAAGGUGGAGGAAAUCCCACAAAGCCGGCCCCAGUUCGGAUUGCAGGCUGCAAUUCGCCUGCAUGAAGCCGGAAUCGCUAGUAAUCGCGUAUCAGCUACGACGCGGUGAAUAUGUUCCUGAGCCUUGUACACACUGCCCGUCAAGCCACGAAAGCGGGGAGCGCGCGAAGUCGCUAUGUCUAACCUUCGGGAAGGACGGCGCCGAAAGCGAGCUCCGUGAUUGGGACUAAGUCGUAACCAAGGUAGCC
This 1508-nucleotide ribosomal RNA is filed under the name uncultured prokaryote. RNAcentral's name for it is "partial 16S ribosomal RNA". It matches the Rfam family "Bacterial small subunit ribosomal RNA". The record is from RNAcentral.